Molecule: ribosomal RNA, 250 nt
Filed under: uncultured bacterium
Lineage: Bacteria
Description: partial 16S ribosomal RNA
Rfam family: Bacterial small subunit ribosomal RNA
Source: RNAcentral
UACGAAGGGGGCUAGCGUUGCUCGGAAUCACUGGGCGUAAAGGGUGCGUAGGCGGUUCUUAAGUCAGGGGUGAAAUCCUGGAGCUCAACUCCAGAACUGCCUUUGAUACUGAAGAUCUUGAGUUCGGGAGAGGUGAGUGGAACUGCGAGUGUAGAGGUGAAAUUCGUAGAUAUUCGCAAGAACACCAGUGGCGAAGGCGGCUCAUUGGCCCGAUACUGACGCUGAGCACGAAAGCGUGGGAGCAAACAGG